RNAcentral lists this ribosomal RNA (492 nucleotides) under Bos taurus (domestic cattle). RNAcentral describes it as "similar to 12S ribosomal RNA". The record is from RNAcentral. Lineage: Eukaryota; Metazoa; Chordata; Mammalia; Artiodactyla; Bovidae.
CCCAGCCUUCCUGUUAACUCUUAAUAAACUUACACAUGCAAGCAUCUACACCCCAGUGAGAAUGCCCUCUAGGUUAUUAAAACUAAGAGGAGCUGGCAUCAAGCACACACCCUGUAGCUCACGACGCCUUGCUUAACCACACCCCCACGGGAAACAGCAGUGACAAAAAUUAAGCCAUAAACGAAAGUUUGACUAAGUUAUAUUAAUUAGGGUUGGUAAAUCUCGUGCCAGCCACCGCGGUCAUACGAUUAACCCAAGCUAACAGGAGUACGGCGUAAAACGUGUUAAAGCACCAUACCAAAUAGGGUUAAAUUCUAACUAAGCUGUAAAAAGCCAUGAUUAAAAUAAAAAUAAAUGACGAAAGUGACCCUACAAUAGCCGACGCACUAUAGCUAAGACCCAAACUGGGAUUAGAUACCCCACUAUGCUUAGCCCUAAACACAGAUAUUACAUAAACAAAAUUAUUCGCCAGAGUACUACUAGCAACAGCUU